This 2213-nucleotide ribosomal RNA is filed under the name Triticum aestivum (bread wheat). RNAcentral describes it as "partial small subunit ribosomal RNA". Lineage: Eukaryota; Viridiplantae; Streptophyta; Magnoliopsida; Poales; Poaceae. The record is from RNAcentral.
CCGGCUUUCACAAAAUUGACUGACCCAAAUUUGAUUUUCAAGCGACUACAGUCAUAUAAGCAAAAAAUUGAAGGAAGGUUCUAAAAGUGAGAUCCACUGACCUGGUAGGCCAGUAGUAGUCACCAAAAUCUUAACCAUAUGACCUAAAAGGCCACCCUGGGCACACGUACUCAAAUCAGACUUCCUAUCAUUGCGGCGACAGGCGCCAAGGAGAAGCUCAGCAGUGAGGUGAAGUUGUCGCAUCCAAUUAGGUACCAAUUGUACCAGUCUCCCACACGGCUCGCUUCAGCUGACCGGCCACUGGCUUUUCCCAUCUUCUCAGCUCUCCCAGCAGCUUCCUUCCCCUCUCUUGCUUAGGCUAAAACUUCAAGCCAUCGUCUGGAUAUGGUCAUGGCCAGAGCAAAGCAAACCUAACUAUAACUACCGAUCAUUGUUUUAUGUCGUGAGAAGAAUAUAAAAUCUAGCCUUUCUCGGUUCAAGGAUCAUUAAGCACCAGCUUGCUCUUCUCGCACUUGCCGAAAGCGAAAAACAUGGGGGCGCAGGUGCAGCUACGGUUGCUUCUUUUGGUAGCUACGGCGGUGGUUGCCAGCUGCGCCACCGGCGGCCUCGCCGCGACGUCGUCCCAGCUGGGCCGCCUGGAGGGCCUGCGCGUGGCCCUGACGCACGUCGACGCGCACGGCAACUACACCAAGCUGCAGCUGCUGCGGCGGGCGGCGAGGCGGAGCCGCCACCGCAUGUCCAGGCUCGUCGCGCGGACCACCGGCGUGCCGAUGAUGUCGAGAAAGGCCGUCGCGCCGGCCCUGCAGGUGCCGGUGCACGCCGGGAACGGUGAGUUUCUGAUGGACAUGUCCAUCGGAACGCCUGCCGUGGCCUACGCGGCCAUCAUUGACACCGGCAGCGACCUCGUGUGGACGCAGUGCAAGCCCUGCGUGGAGUGCUUCAACCAGAGCACGCCCGUGUUCGACCCCUCGUCGUCCUCCACCUACGCCGCGCUGCCGUGCUCCAGCUCCUUCUGCAGCGACCUGCCCAGCUCUAAGUGCGCCUCGGCCAAGUGCGGCUACACGUACACCUACGGCGACUCCUCGUCGACGCAGGGCGUGCUGGCCGCCGAGACCUUCACGCUGGCCAAGACGAAGCUCCCGGAGGUCGCCUUCGGCUGCGGCGACACGAACGAGGGCGACGGGUUCACGCAGGGCGCGGGGCUCGUGGGGCUCGGCCGGGGCCCCCUCUCGCUGGUCUCGCAGCUCGGCCUCAAGAAGUUCUCCUACUGCCUCACCUCCCUCGACGACACGAGCAAGAGCCCGCUCCUCCUCGGCUCUCUCGCCAGCAUCUCGGAGAGCGCGGCGGCCGCGUCGUCGGUGCAGACCACCCCUCUCAUCAAGAACCCGAGCCAGCCGUCCUUCUACUACGUGAACCUCAAGGGCCUGACGGUCGGCUCGACGCACAUCGCCCUGCCGAGCUCGGCGUUCGCCGUGCAGGGCGACGGCACGGGCGGGGUGAUCGUGGACUCCGGCACGUCGAUCACGUACCUGGAGCUGCAGGGGUACCGCGCGCUGAAGAAGGCGUUCGCGGCGCAGAUGAAGCUGCCGGCGGCGGACGGGUCGGGGAUCGGGCUGGACAUGUGCUUCGAGGCGCCGGCGAGCGGGGUGGACCAGGUGGAGGUGCCGAAGCUGGUGUUCCACUUCGACGGCGCGGACCUGGACCUGCCGGCGGAGAACUACAUGGUGCUGGACUCCGGGUCCGGCGCGCUGUGCGUGACGGUGAUGGGGUCGCGGGGCCUGUCCAUCAUCGGCAACUUCCAGCAGCAGAACAUCCAGUUCGUGUACGACGUGGGCGAGAACACCCUCUCCUUCGCGCCCGUGCAGUGCGCCAAAUUGUGAGUAGUACGUGCGUGCCGGUGUUGGACCUCAAAUACGUUGUUGAUUAGUCGUAGGUGUGUCGAUCCGUGCAUGCGGACGCAUGGAUGCCGUGUUCAUAUGCCAUGGAGCGAUCAAUCGUGCUUGCUACAUUGAAUUAGCUCGUCUCGGUCGCUACUCGACAUGCAUGGAUCGCAGUGUGUACUUAUGUGACUGAAUAGGCCAUGGAUGGAUGGGGAUGACGAUGGAUCUGUGUGUAUAUGACCAACGGUGAUAUCUGAUCAGUUGUAUAAUCUAUGGCACCAUGUGUUUCUUAUUAUCUGGAAUUAUCAAAAAUCUUAUCUGGCUGACGUUCGC